UUUCUUCCAAUCGUCCUUUUUCUUUAUGGUAUGAGAGCCUCACGCCUCUUCUCUCUUUGCAUCAUUGAUUGAGGAGUAGAGAGGCACCAUCGACCUAGAGCCACGUAAAGGAAGGUCUCACCCAUGGCUUCUCCCCUUGCUCCCAUCGCAUCAAAUCAAAAGUUUCCUUGCCCAUCCACAUUGAAUGUGGCCAACUUCAUUUCCGUAAAGCUUUCUCAAACAAACUUCCUUUUAUGGAAAACACAAGUGUUUUGCCUUAUUGAAAGUCAAGACUUGCAAGGAUUCAUCAACGGAGAAGUCACUGCACCAGAUCAAUUCAUCAUCACUGGUAGCAAGCAAAAAACCAAUCCUACAAUGGAAGAUGUCAGAUCGACUCCUACGUGGAUGGAUCACAGAACAGGGAAUCAGGGCGAGUGAUUGCUGAAGGCCAACGGCUGGAUGAUCUUUAUGUUUUUGUGGCAGAAACAAAAGAGGCAUGCUUCUCCAAUCGUCAAAAGGUGGUUAGUCUUGAAAUAUGGCAUAGAAGAUUAGUUCAUGUUAAUUUUGGAAUUUUAAAGUUCUUGAAUAGACAAAACCAGAUCUAUUAUCUAUAGCUCACAUGUUACAGAAAGAAAUAUAUGCGUUGGUUGUGCUAUGCCAAAAUCUUCUCGUCUACCUUUCUUCUCUGUUGACAAUAGGGAUUCAUAACCUUUUGACAUGUUACAUUGUGAUUUAUGGGGGCCUU
Nymphaea colorata (pocket water lily) is the source of this 724-nucleotide RNA transcript. RefSeq lists it as uncharacterized. The record is from RefSeq and is a predicted model, not a curated record. Lineage: Eukaryota; Viridiplantae; Streptophyta; Magnoliopsida; Nymphaeales; Nymphaeaceae. The transcript has 2 exons.